UGUGGGAGCGAGCCUGCUCGCGAUGGCGUCAGUUCAGCCAAUAUCAAUGGUGGUUGACCCACCGCUAUCGCGAGCAGGCUCGCUCCCACA
Molecule: unclassified non-coding RNA, 90 nt
Filed under: Pseudomonas mediterranea
Lineage: Bacteria; Pseudomonadati; Pseudomonadota; Gammaproteobacteria; Pseudomonadales; Pseudomonadaceae
Source: RNAcentral